Spea bombifrons (plains spadefoot toad) is the source of this 142-nucleotide long non-coding RNA. RefSeq lists it as uncharacterized. The record is from RefSeq and is a predicted model, not a curated record. Lineage: Eukaryota; Metazoa; Chordata; Amphibia; Anura; Pelobatidae. The transcript has 3 exons.
CCUUUUUAAAAAAAAAAAAAAAAAAAAAAAAUAUACCAAAUAAGACACAAGAAAAAAAAAAAAAAAAAAAAAAAAAAAAAAAAAAAAAAAAAAAAAAAAAAUAUAUUUAAAAAAAAAAAAAAAAAAAAAAAAAAAAAGAAAC